This is a microRNA precursor of Danio rerio (zebrafish), 142 nucleotides long. Ensembl annotates it as microRNA 24-3. Its record names the gene mir24-3. The record is from Ensembl. NCBI's taxonomy places the organism in Eukaryota, Metazoa, Chordata, Actinopteri, Cypriniformes, Danionidae.
GCUGAACGGGAGUCAUAUGAGAGAUAGAUGGAGCUGGCCUCCCGUGCCUACUGAGCUGAUUACAGUACUGUGCAAACACUGGCUCAGUUCAGCAGGAACAGGAGUCUGGUCCACAAACUCCACCAAACACUGCUGCUUCAGC